This 417-nucleotide ribosomal RNA is filed under the name uncultured microorganism. Its description in RNAcentral is "bacterial SSU rRNA". It matches the Rfam family "Bacterial small subunit ribosomal RNA", at positions 9 to 424 of the family's 1533-position model. The record is from RNAcentral.
GAGUUUGAUCGUGGCUCAGAUUGAACGCUGGCGGCAUGCCUUACACAUGCAAGUCGAACGGCAGCAUGAUCUAGCUUGCUAGAUUGAUGGCGAGUGGCGAACGGGUGAGUAAUACAUCGGAACGUGCCCUGUAGUGGGGGGUAACUAGUCGAAAGAUUAGCUAAUACCGCAUACGACCUGAGGGUGAAAGUGGGGGACCGCAAGGCCUCAUGCUAUAGGAGCGGCCGAUGUCUGAUUAGCUAGUUGGUGGGGUAAAGGCCCACCAAGGCGACGAUCAGUAGCUGGUCUGAGAGGACGAUCAGCCACACUGGGACUGAGACACGGCCCAGACUCCUACGGGAGGCAGCAGUGGGGAAUUUUGGACAAUGGGCGAAAGCCUGAUCCAGCAAUGCCGCGUGUGUGAAGAAGGCCUCGGUU